UGACCGCUGGCGGCAGGCCUAACACAUGCAAGUCGAACGGUAACAGGAAGCAGCUUGCUGCUUUGCUGACGAGUGGCGGACGGGUGAGUAAUGUCUGGGAAACUGCCCGAUGGAGGGGGAUAACUACUGGAAACGGUAGCUAAUACCGCAUAACGUCGCAAGACCAAAGAGGGGGACCUUAGGGCCUCUUGCCAUCGGAUGUGCCCAGAUGGGAUUAGCUAGUAGGUGGGAUAACGGCUCACCUAGGCGACGAUCCCUAGCUGGUCUGAGAGGAUGACCAGCCGCACUGGAACUGAGACACGGUCCAGACUCCUACGGGAGGCAGCAGUGGGGAAUAUUGCACAAUGGGCGCAAGCCUGAUGCAGCCAUGCCGCGUGUAUGAAGAAGGCCUUCGGGUUGUAAAGUACUUUCAGCGGGGAGGAAGGGAGUAAAGUUAAUACCUUUGCUCAUUGACGUUACCCGCAGAAGAAGCACCGGCUAACUCCGUG
This 488-nucleotide ribosomal RNA is filed under the name uncultured bacterium. Its description in RNAcentral is "partial 16S ribosomal RNA". It matches the Rfam family "Bacterial small subunit ribosomal RNA", at positions 30 to 507 of the family's 1533-position model. The record is from RNAcentral.